AGCAGCCGCGGUAAUUCCAGCUCCAAUAGCGUAUAUUAAAGUUGUUGCAGUUAAAAAGCUCGUAGUUGAAUUUCGGGGUCAGUAGGCUGGUCGUGCCACAGGUACGUACUGGUCUCACUGAUUCCUCCUUCCUGAUGAACCGUAAUGCCAUUAAUUUGGUGUUGCGGGGAAACUGGACUGUUACUUUGAAAAAUUAGAGUGUUUAAAGCAGGCUAACGCUUGAAUACAUUAGCAUGGAAUAAUGAAAUAGGACGUUCGAUCCUAUUUUGUUGGUUUCUAGGAUUGACGUAAUGAUUAAUAGGGAUAGUUGGGGGCAUUAGUAUUCAAUUGUCAGAGGUGAAAUUCUUGGAUUUAUUGAAGACUAACUACUGCGAAAGCAUUUGCCAAGGAUGUUUUCAUUAAUCAAGAACGAAAGUUAGGGGAUCGAAGACGAUCAGAUACCGUCGUAGUCUUAACCAUAAACUAUGCCGACUAGGGAUCGGAUGAUGUUAAUUUUUAAUGUACUCA
This 507-nucleotide ribosomal RNA is filed under the name uncultured Glomeraceae. RNAcentral's name for it is "SSU rRNA". It matches the Rfam family "Eukaryotic small subunit ribosomal RNA", at positions 569 to 1078 of the family's 1831-position model. Lineage: Eukaryota; Fungi; Glomeromycota; Glomeromycetes; Glomerales; Glomeraceae. The record is from RNAcentral.